Molecule: small nucleolar RNA, 120 nt
Filed under: Phascolarctos cinereus (koala)
Lineage: Eukaryota; Metazoa; Chordata; Mammalia; Diprotodontia; Phascolarctidae
Description: Small nucleolar RNA SNORA26 (ENSPCIG00000032231.1)
Rfam family: Small nucleolar RNA SNORA26
About the family: The snoRNA HBI-6 belong to the H/ACA family of snoRNAs, guiding the pseudouridylation of position U4522 if the 28S rRNA. HBI-6 is the human orthologue of mouse MBI-6 snoRNA.
Source: Rfam by way of RNAcentral
UUGCCCACCUGAAGCUAAUGGUGCUUCAUGUGGCCAGAACAGAGGGGUAAAGCACUCUUCUCUCUUAAACCCGGGACGAACGAUCAGCCUCUGUUCCGGAUCCUGUCGUGAGAGACAGCC